RNAcentral lists this ribosomal RNA (468 nucleotides) under uncultured bacterium. Its description in RNAcentral is "partial 16S ribosomal RNA". It matches the Rfam family "Bacterial small subunit ribosomal RNA", at positions 28 to 507 of the family's 1533-position model. The record is from RNAcentral.
GACGAACGCUGGCGGCGUGCUUAACACAUGCAAGUCGAACGGAAAGGCCCUGCUUUUGUGGGGUGCUCGAGUGGCGAACGGGUGAGUAACACGUGAGUAACCUGCCCUUGACUUUGGGAUAACUUCAGGAAACUGGGGCUAAUACCGGAUAGGAGCUCCUGCUGCAUGGUGGGGGUUGGAAAGUUUCGGCGGUUGGGGAUGGACUCGCGGCUUAUCAGCUUGUUGGUGGGGUAGUGGCUUACCAAGGCUUUGACGGGUAGCCGGCCUGAGAGGGUGACCGGCCACAUUGUGUCUGAUAUACGGCCCAGACUCCUACGGGAGGCAGCAGUGGGGAAUAUUGCACAAUGGGCGGAAGCCUGAUGCAGCAACGCCGCGUGCGGGAUGACGGCCUUCGGGUUGUAAACCGCUUUCGCCUGUGACGAAGCGUGAGUGACGGUAAUGGGUAAAGAAGCACCGGCUAACUACGUG